RNAcentral lists this ribosomal RNA (400 nucleotides) under uncultured bacterium. RNAcentral describes it as "bacterial SSU rRNA". It matches the Rfam family "Bacterial small subunit ribosomal RNA", at positions 356 to 773 of the family's 1533-position model. The record is from RNAcentral.
GGGGGAUAUUAGGCAAUGGGGGAAACCCUGACCUAGCAACGCCGCGUGAAGGAAGAAGGUCUUCGGAUUGUAAACUUCUUUGACGAGGGACGAUAAUGACGGUACCUCGAAAACAAGCCACGGCUAACUACGUGCCAGCAGCCGCGGUAAUACGUAGGUGGCAAGCGUUGUCCGGAUUUACUGGGUGUAAAGGGCGUGUAGGCGGAAUGGCAAGUCAGAUGUGAAAUACGGGAGCUUAACUCCCGGGCUGCAUUUGAAACUGCUGUUCUUGAGUGAUGGAGAGGUAAGCGGAAUUCCCGGUGUAGCGGUAAAAUGCGUAGAUAUCGGGAGGAACACCAGUGGCGAAGGCGGCUUACUGGACAUUAACUGACGCUGAGGCGCGAAAGUGUGGGGAGCAAAC